Molecule: ribosomal RNA, 253 nt
Filed under: uncultured bacterium
Lineage: Bacteria
Description: partial 16S ribosomal RNA
Rfam family: Bacterial small subunit ribosomal RNA
Source: RNAcentral
GACAGAGGGUGCAAACGUUGCUCGGAAUCACUGGGCGUAAAGGGCGUGUAGGCGGGAGGGAAAGUCAGAUGUGAAAUCCCCAGGCUCAACCUGGGAACUGCAUUUGAAACUCCCCUUCUUGAGUAUCGGAGAGGAAAGCGGAAUUCCUGGUGUAGAGGUGAAAUUCGUAGAUAUUCGCAAGAACACCAGUGGCGAAGGCGGCUCACUGGCCCGGUACUGACGCUGAGGUGCGAAAGCGUGGGGAGCAAACAGG